AGGGAAUAUUGGACAAUGGAGGCAACUCUGAUCCAGCCAUCCCGCGUGAAGGAUUAAGGCCCUCUGGGUUGUAAACUUCUUUUCUCUGGGAAUAAAAACUCGUAUUCAUAUGAGCUUGAAGGUACCAGAGGAAUAAGCACCGGCUAACUCCGUGCCAGCAGCCGCGGUAAUACGGAGGGUGCAAGCGUUAUCCGGAUUCACUGGGUUUAAAGGGUGCGUAGGUGGUCUUGUAAGUCAGCGGUGAAAGCCUACAGCUUAACUGUAGAAUUGCCAUUGAUACUGCUUGACUUGAAUCAUGUUGAGGUGGAUGGAAUAUAUCAUGUAGCGGUGAAAUGCUUAGAUAUGAUAUAGAACACCAAUUGCGAAGGCAGUUCACUAAACAUGUAUUGACACUGAGGCACGAAAGCGUGGGGAUCAAAC
This 420-nucleotide ribosomal RNA is filed under the name uncultured bacterium. Its description in RNAcentral is "bacterial SSU rRNA". It matches the Rfam family "Bacterial small subunit ribosomal RNA", at positions 356 to 773 of the family's 1533-position model. The record is from RNAcentral.